RNAcentral lists this transfer RNA (75 nucleotides) under Capsulimonas corticalis. RNAcentral describes it as "tRNA-Ile". It matches the Rfam family "tRNA". Rfam says of the family: Transfer RNA (tRNA) molecules are approximately 80 nucleotides in length. Their secondary structure includes four short double-helical elements and three loops (D, anti-codon, and T loops). Further hydrogen bonds mediate the characteristic L-shaped molecular structure. tRNAs have two regions of fundamental functional importance: the anti-codon, which is responsible for specific mRNA codon recognition, and the 3' end, to which the tRNAs corresponding amino acid is attached (by aminoacyl-tRNA synthetases). tRNAs cope with the degeneracy of the genetic code in two manners: having more than one tRNA (with a specific anti-codon) for a particular amino acid; and 'wobble' base-pairing, i.e. permitting non-standard base-pairing at the 3rd anti-codon position. The record is from RNAcentral. Lineage: Bacteria; Bacillati; Armatimonadota; Armatimonadia; Capsulimonadales; Capsulimonadaceae.
GCUCCCGUUGCAUAAUCGGUCAAUGCGCACUCCUUAUAAGGGUGUGAUCCGGGUUCGAGCCCCGGCGGGAGUACC